This 253-nucleotide ribosomal RNA is filed under the name uncultured bacterium. Its description in RNAcentral is "partial small subunit ribosomal RNA". It matches the Rfam family "Bacterial small subunit ribosomal RNA", at positions 26 to 287 of the family's 1533-position model. The record is from RNAcentral.
AGGACGAACGCUGGCGGCGUGCUUAACACAUGCAAGUGGAGCGACGAACCAGGGCUUGCCCUGGGGCAGAGCCGCGAACGGGUGAGUAACACGUGGGUUACCUGCCUCGAUGACCGGGACAACCCGAGGAAACUCGGGCUAAUACCGGAUGUGCCCGCAAGGGGAAAGGAAGCUUCGGCCUCCGCAUCGAGAUGGGCCCGCGGCCCAUUAGCUUGUUGGUGAGGUAACGCUCACCAAGGCUUCGAUGGGUAGC